This 76-nucleotide microRNA precursor is filed under the name Myotis lucifugus (little brown bat). Its description in RNAcentral is "mir-9229 microRNA precursor family". It matches the Rfam family "mir-9229 microRNA precursor family". The record is from Rfam by way of RNAcentral. Lineage: Eukaryota; Metazoa; Chordata; Mammalia; Chiroptera; Vespertilionidae.
GAGACACCUUUAUUAGGCAGGACUUGCUUCAGUGGGGCUUUGGUGCUCACUGAGUCUGCCCCUUGAGUGUGCCACU